Molecule: long non-coding RNA, 504 nt
Organism: Conger conger (European conger)
Lineage: Eukaryota; Metazoa; Chordata; Actinopteri; Anguilliformes; Congridae
Exons: 2
Source: RefSeq, a predicted model, not a curated record
CAGGCAGCGGGAAUUGUGUGGGGUCGCCGUCGCUGUCUGGAUUGUGCUCAGCGUUGUCCCUCGGCACCUCCCCAAUCACAGGAAUAGGUUGUGUAUCAAUCUGCGGCUCUGGUUUUUCCGCGUCGCCGUUACCAUUGUGCAACAUGUUCAGCUUGAUGCUCUGUAUUACGAAUCCUCCAAAGAAUUAAAGUUUCAAGCGGAAAGUAAAUGAGAAUAGAUAAAGAAACAGAAGACACUUGCAGGGGCUGUGUGUUUUCUGUUCCCUCAUUCUAAUGGGAUUCUGGCACCAGAACCACUGCGACUAUGAGCAAAGUGGUCUGAAGAGCCGUGUUUGGAAUGAGGGAUUGUGAUGAUGCAUUGCUAAAGAAUGGAGGUGUGAAGAAGGGAAGAGUAAAGUGGUACAGUCGGAAGCCGAGUUAGCGCAAAAUCUGUGUUUAAUAAGAAGACUACGGCCAUGGCAACAUCAACCAAUGUGCAAUAAAAAUGAUUUGUUAUGGAGCUCAA